Long non-coding RNA from Acanthopagrus latus (yellowfin seabream), 1040 nucleotides. RefSeq lists it as uncharacterized. The transcript has 4 exons. The record is from RefSeq and is a predicted model, not a curated record. Lineage: Eukaryota; Metazoa; Chordata; Actinopteri; Spariformes; Sparidae.
UGCAGUCCAAUCAAUGACUGAGGGGGCGUGUCGGCCGGUGAAAGACUUCCGUGAAGGCAGCUCUCGUGAGUGCUCGCUCCUCAGAGAUCGAUUCUCGUUAUUCGGAGUACAAAGAAGAGAAUUAAGAGACAGCCUACAAGACGGUGGACAGGAAGGACUUCCGAUUCAAGCGUGGAGCAAGAAAAACAACAAAGAAUACAAAUGAGAAGUAUCCUCCGACGCUAGCUGUGUCCCAAUUCAGGGGCAGCAUCCUUCGGAGUGCGCAUUAUAAGAGCAAUUACUUCACUACGCCGCGCGAAGCCUUUCCCAAAGUGUCGUCCAAAUGCUCCGCACAAAUGCUGCCUUCUUUUGCCUCUUCCUGGAGGACACAUCGCCACUAUCCUUCGCGGCUCUAAAUUGGCCAGAUUCAUUGUGCGCCCAAAGAGAAGAAAGCAAGAAAGAAAGAAAUAAUGGCGACCUCAAGUGGCGCCGAUCUCUCAUUUAAAUGGAGCAGAGAGUUUCAUCCCUGACCAAAAACGAACAUUUGUUCACAGGGCGAAAUAUUCCACUGCGGCUGGAUGGAAAACAGUUCUGGAAAAAAUGGGCCUGCAGGGGAAGGUCGAGGCCAGAAACAAGUGGGACCAUAUAAAGAUCCAGUACAAAGUAGCUGCAGGAUUGCUAAUAUCCAGGGACAGGAGAGGGGGUCAGCAGGAGGCCCAGCGCUGCUACUGCGUCCUGGUUUAUCCUCAUGGCUGAGGUGUUAGGACAGAGGCCUUCCACUGCCCUCCUGUCCUAACGCCUCCAUCCCUGAGGACACACCAGGGCCAAGUGACCAGGAGGAGGAGGAUGAUGACAAUGAGGACGAGAGCCAGCCAGGGCCGAGGAGGAGGAGGAGGAGGACAUGAGGCUGCAGAAAGGAUGGAGAGACUCUUCUCUGCUCCAGAGGACAAUCCUUACAUUAUAGCUGUUGUUAUUUAGUAAAUGUAUGGGUUAUUUUUAAAUUAUUUGUUCAUAAUUGUUCAUUUUAUAUAAUCAUGAAAUAAAAUAUUGUUCUAUUGUUA